CGUCCGGGAAAAGUUGUCUCCGACGACAUUUUGCGAAAAUCACCUCCCCUUUCCUCCGACAAACAACACACUCCCCGCGCCAGAGCCAGAGCUCCCUUGCUCGUCUCCCCCUCGCCGGAGCUCCCCCGCGCCAGAGCUCACCUCCUCUGCUCCCCCGCACAGCUCUCCCGCGCGUCGCCGGAGCUCCCUCUCCCCACGCCACUGCCGCGUUGCUUCCCCCCUCCUCGUUCCUCUCAUCGUCCCCCCAUGGCGAAUCACGGCGAGGAAGGCUCGACUUUUUUCGAUCUGCUAUCCGACGGCGUCCUUCCCCGAGGGCGGCGAGCCAGAGCUUCCCCUGCGCGUCGUCGACCACCUCCUCAUUGGCUGGACGCCGUCGACCACAAACCCAGUAUUCUCCAAGCGCACGCCGCUGUGUGGGUCGCCGAGAUGCCGAGGCCGAGGCGGAGCUCCAGGCCAUCGAGGUCGCGUACGCCGCCGAGUCCGGCAAGCGCCGCCAACUCCCAGACUGGUCCAAGGCACCCGCCCCCGCCUCCGUCUGCCCAUAGCCCAACCCAGUCCCCUCGCCCCCCUCCUGCCAAGUGGACUUCACAUUCCAAAGGAGGGACAAAAUCUGGAGUAAUUGAUUAUUUCCAAAAUCUGGAGUAAUCUUCUCAAGUUACAUGAUCAGUUGUGCUUGACUGAAAAUUUUCACAGGAAAAUUUUGACUGGAGUAACAGAGGCAUAACAGUACAAAUUACAGGCGAAUGUGGAUGUUGCACACUAUUGUGAAGGUGUAGCACUGCCCAAUUAAAUUUCCACUUCACAUAUCUACUUCAAUUUCUACUACAAAUUCACCUUUUCAACAGUAGACGCGGGGCAGAGAAGUCAGACGGCGAGGAUGAGCAGAAGCAUCAGACGGCGAGGAGGAGCAGAAGCAUCAGACGGCGAGGACUCGAUCUGGGGGCGUUGGCUUCGCCCAACAGCUGCAGCAUCAGAGGCUGGAGGGAAUCGCGGCGGCAGCAGAAGGAAGCGGCGGCCGGCGACUUGCCCAAAUCCCGCACCGGCGGCCGCGGGCGCGAGGAAGCGGGCAGAGGAUGAGGGCGCGGGCCGCACCGGCUAGGGACGCGAGCAGGGCGACGAGGGAGGUGCCUUCAGCCGUGGAGGAGGCGGGCGUCCAGUUGGUCGCCGCGGAGGAGCAGUCACCUCCGUGUGGGCGGCGGCGCAGCUCGCCUUCGUGCAGGCGGCGCAGGCGGGCAGGGGCGCCGCGGAUUGGCAGCGGCUGCAGGCGGCGCAGGCGGGCAGGGGCGCCGCGGAUUGGCAGCGGCGGCGCAGCGGCGACGCAGGUGGACGGCAGCGCGCUGGGCUCUACGGUGGCUGCCGACGGCGCGCUGGGCUUGUUCCUGCCGCGGGCGUCCGGAGGAGGAAGAAGCAAAGGGGUAAUUAGCAGGAGAUUUAAAAUCCUAAGGGUUUAUUUGCAAAAAUCAUAAUGAACUACGCCGUGGACAACUUUUCCCGGACGGAGGGAGUACUUGUCUUGAUUUUGAACUAAAACCACGACAGAUAUUUUAAAACGGAAAGAGUACAUUGCAAGCAUGAACUUAAUCAUUUCCUUCCUCUCCGGCCUGGUCAACUCCAUACUCACAUGCAAUCGAGAGAAACUAUAAUAUGUUUUCUGUAAAUUUCUCAAGCUCUAAAUGAGCCAAAAACCAAUCAUAUUGUGGAAAAUAUAGGAUGGCUGAAUAUUAUGUUGUA
Long non-coding RNA from Triticum aestivum (bread wheat), 1731 nucleotides. RefSeq lists it as uncharacterized. The transcript has 3 exons. The record is from RefSeq and is a predicted model, not a curated record. NCBI's taxonomy places the organism in Eukaryota, Viridiplantae, Streptophyta, Magnoliopsida, Poales, Poaceae.